RNAcentral lists this transfer RNA (69 nucleotides) under Acanthogobius hasta (javeline goby). RNAcentral describes it as "tRNA-Pro". It matches the Rfam family "tRNA". Rfam says of the family: Transfer RNA (tRNA) molecules are approximately 80 nucleotides in length. Their secondary structure includes four short double-helical elements and three loops (D, anti-codon, and T loops). Lineage: Eukaryota; Metazoa; Chordata; Actinopteri; Gobiiformes; Gobiidae. RNAcentral also lists the same sequence under 1 other name. The record is from RNAcentral.
CAAAGAAUAGUUAAACCAUAAUACUAGCUUUGGGAGCUAGAGAUGGGAGUUAGACCCUCUCUUCUUUGA